RNAcentral lists this ribosomal RNA (735 nucleotides) under Flavobacterium johnsoniae. RNAcentral's name for it is "bacterial SSU rRNA". It matches the Rfam family "Bacterial small subunit ribosomal RNA", at positions 119 to 835 of the family's 1533-position model. Lineage: Bacteria; Pseudomonadati; Bacteroidota; Flavobacteriia; Flavobacteriales; Flavobacteriaceae. The record is from RNAcentral.
CUGAAGCUAACAUAUUGGUUGCGAUUCUCGCAUUGUAAGAUAAGAACCUGUACAAGGACCUGACUUUCUCUCCAAUCGCAAGCGUCGUAAUAAUAGUAAUCGUCGUAACAAGGUAGCCGUAGAUGAGCAUGCGUCCCAUUAGCUAGUUGGUAAGGUAACGGCUUACCAAGGCUACGAUGGGUAGGGGUCCUGAGAGGGAGAUCCCCCACACUGGUACUGAGACACGGACCAGACUCCUACGGGAGGCAGCAGUGAGGAAUAUUGGUCAAUGGGCGCAAGCCUGAACCAGCCAUGCCGCGUGCAGGAUGACGGUCCUAUGGAUUGUAAACUGCUUUUGUACGGGAAGAAACCCUCCUACGUGUAGGAGCUUGACGGUACCGUAAGAAUAAGGAUCGGCUAACUCCGUGCCAGCAGCCGCGGUAAUACGGAGGAUCCAAGCGUUAUCCGGAAUCAUUGGGUUUAAAGGGUCUGUAGGCGGUCUUGUAAGUCAGUGGUGAAAGCCCAUCGCUCAACGGUGGAACGGCCAUUGAUACUGCUGGACUUGAAUUAUUGGGAAGCAACUAGAAUAUGUAGUGUAGCGGUGAAAUGCUUAGAGAUUACAUGGAAUACCAAUUGCGAAGGCAGGUUGCUACCAAUGGAUUGACGCUGAUGGACGAAAGCGUGGGUAGCGAACAGGAUUAGAUACCCUGGUAGUCCACGCCGUAAACGAUGGAUACUAGCUGUUGGGCGCAAGUU